CCUACGGGCGGCAGCAGUGGGGAAUAUUGCACAAUGGGGGAAACCCUGAUGCAGCAACGCCGCGUGGGUGAAGGAGCGCUUCGGCGCGUAAAGCUCUGUCAGCGGGGAAGAAGAAAGACGGUACCCGUCCAAGAAGCACUGACUAACUACGUGCCAGAAGCCGCGGUAAUACGGAGGGGGCGAGCGUCACCCGGAAUUACUGGGUGUAAAGGGAGCGUAGACGGUGUGGUAAGACUGGAGUGGAAGCCCGCGGCCCAACAGGGGAACUGCUUUGGGAACUGUUAUGCUGGAGUAUGGGAGGGGUAAGCGGAAUGCCUGGUGUAGCGGUGAAAUGCGUAGAUAUCAGGAGGAACACCGGUGGCGAAGGCGACUUACUGGACCAUAACUGACGUUGAGGCUCGAAAGCGUGGGGAGCGAACAGGAUUAGAUACCCUUGUAGUC
Molecule: ribosomal RNA, 441 nt
Filed under: uncultured bacterium
Lineage: Bacteria
Description: partial 16S ribosomal RNA
Rfam family: Bacterial small subunit ribosomal RNA
Source: RNAcentral